Molecule: long non-coding RNA, 411 nt
Filed under: Sorghum bicolor (sorghum)
Lineage: Eukaryota; Viridiplantae; Streptophyta; Magnoliopsida; Poales; Poaceae
Description: long non-coding RNA (SBIC_LNC008452)
Source: RNAcentral
UUCAUAUAUCUUUUAUGUGACACUUAUCCCUGUAUGAAAGAGUUAGAUAAAUGUUCUCAAUUAUACAUGCAAUGAUAGAUACUCAAUCUCAUAUUCUAUUCUAUAAUCAAUAUUGAUGAUUGUUAAUCCCUUCCCAGUGGUAAAAAUAUAAAUAAUGAUACCUGGAAUACUUCCCGGUUAAAAUGCUACAUCGGUAUUAAUCUGUGCGCUUGCAGAUCCCAUUCAUUAUUUAUUUAGAAGAGCAAUUGCAUAUUUCAAUACCGCGUCUCUCAUGUCAUGCUGGGGAUGACAACUUGGCUUAAGUGGUGUGAGGGAUAGGUUUGGUAUUUUUUUCACCGUUACUAGAAUUAGAAAAUUGUCUACUUUUGGUAAUGAUAUUAAGAAUACCCAACAGUCGUCCGAGUCAGCGUC